AAGGAAUAUUGGACAAUGGAGGCAACUCUGAUCCAGCCAUGCCGCGUGAAGGAAGACGGCCUUAUGGGUUGUAAACUUCUUUUAUACAGGAAGAAACCUUUCCACGUGUGGAAAGCUGACGGUACUGUAAGAAUAAGGAUCGGCUAACUCCGUGCCAGCAGCCGCGGUAAUACGGAGGAUCCAAGCGUUAUCCGGAAUUAUUGGGUUUAAAGGGUCCGCAGGCUGUUUGUUAAGUCAGAGGUGAAAUCCUACCGCUCAACGGUAGAACUGCCUUUGAUACUGGCAAACUUGAGUUAUUGUGAAGUAGUUAGAAUGUGUAGUGUAGCGGUGAAAUGCAUAGAUAUUACACAGAAUACCGAUUGCGAAAGCAGAUUACUAACAAUAUACUGACGCUGAGGGACGAAAGCGUGGGUAGCGAAC
Molecule: ribosomal RNA, 420 nt
Filed under: uncultured Flavobacteriaceae bacterium
Lineage: Bacteria; Pseudomonadati; Bacteroidota; Flavobacteriia; Flavobacteriales; Flavobacteriaceae
Description: bacterial SSU rRNA
Rfam family: Bacterial small subunit ribosomal RNA
Source: RNAcentral